This 254-nucleotide ribosomal RNA is filed under the name uncultured bacterium. RNAcentral's name for it is "partial 16S ribosomal RNA". It matches the Rfam family "Bacterial small subunit ribosomal RNA", at positions 524 to 776 of the family's 1533-position model. The record is from RNAcentral.
UACGGAGGGGGCUAGCGUUGUUCGGAAUGACUGGGCGUAAAGCGCGCGUAGGCGGAUCAUCAAGUCGGGGGGUGAAAUCCCGGGGCUCAACCCCGGCACGGCCUUCGAGACUGGUGGUCUUGAGUUCGAGAGAGGUGAGUGGAAUUCCUGGUGUAGCGGUGAAAUGCGCAGAUAUCAGGAGGAACACCGAUUGCGAAGGCAGCUCGCUGGAACGUUACUGACGCUGAGACGCGAAAGCGUGGGGAGCAAACAGG